CCGGCCUCGCCCACACCGGGGGUCCCGGCGCUCCCGCUCGCCCCUGCCCCAGCAGAAACUUUGGCCGCCCACGUAUCCUGAUCCGUGCCAGGAGGGAAAGGAAGGGCAGGGCGGGGCAGGGCAGGUCCUGUGCCCGAUCCCCCGGAGCUGGUGGCCGGUGCGCCGCGGCCCCCGGCUGUUGGCGCGUCCCAGCAGGUGGAGCGAGCGCCGCGGGCUGCAGGGCGCGCUGAGCCCUCGCUCGCUGUGUAAACACCGUGACCACAGGGGAAGUGUUCUCACUCCGCUGGCAUCUGCCUAAAUUUAGCUGCUCUUAGGUCACCCCAUCCCGCUGCCUCCUCGCUCCCGGUGCCGCGCUGAAUCCCGUCCCUGUGCGCUCCGCUGGCCGCGCCGCGGGGCAGAGCCCGAACCCCCCUGUGCGCUCCUGGCACAGCCCCAGCAGAGCUGCCAGCACGGGAAUCGGUGCCCAGUGGCUGUGCUGGGCACUUUGGUGUCCUGGCAAUUCCGAGCUUUGCUUGGUGCUGGGUUUUGCCAGAGCCCGCGGCACGGAGGGGAGGGACGGGGCGGUGAGAGCCCGCACUGCCCCGUUCCGUCCCGAACCCGCCUGGAGCUGGCGGCAGCAGCUGCUCGCGCUGACAAAAAACAUCCUCUAGAGGGAACUGCCAGCCCAGACAUGGUUCCAGUGCCGCCAGGAAAGGAGCAUCGCCCCACGAGGGCGUGAGCGGGACCGGGAGUGGAGAUACAGCAUGGUCAGGGCGGCCACCUCCCUUCCCCGUGACCGUCCCACCUGCCAGCUCACCUGGGGACAGCGCUGGGCUGCGGCCCGAGGCUUUGGGGGCAGCAAAAAUCUGUGUGCCACUGUCCUGGCAGAGACCGGGCACUCCCGGCAGCCCUGCCGGCCGCAGCCCCUCCCCACCGUGGGGACAGCACCGGCUGGAGAGCUGUACCGCGGCUCCCAGGGGUCCUGUCCCCUGCCGGGGGCAAGCGGGACCCCUCUGCAGAGCCCCUCGUCCCUCUGCUUUCCAGGACAAGAGCCCAUCAAGGUGAUCGGGGUUGUCUUGGGCAUCGGUCUGGCCCUGCUGGUCCUGGCGAGUUUUGGCUACACCUUCAUCCCCCCCCCCCCCCCCCCCCCCCCCCCCCCCCCCCCCCCCCCCCCCCCCCCCCCCCCCCCCCCCCCCCCCCCCCCCCCCCCCCCCCCCCCCCCCCCCCCCCCCCCCCCCCCCCAGGGGCCACUCCCGGCGCCGGCCUGACUUUGUCUUCAACCUCUACCACUCACGCGGGCUGGGGUCGGUGGCACUGGAGCUGGUGCCACCGUUCAGCAUCAGUGGCUCGCUGGGCACCUCGGGCAGCGGCUACGAGCCCUUCCCCAGCCAGGGGCCGUGAGGUGGCAGCUGGGCUGCUGAGCAGGUAGGACAUCCCCCUGUCCCCUCUGUCUGCCCCUGGGCAUCACAGCUUUCCUCAGGACAGUCCCAAGGGUUUUUCCAGCAAAAGCUGUGGCUGUGGGGCUUCAGAGGCUUUCCCUGAGCUCUGGUUCUGGUUUCUCCCCUCACAGGCUUUGGUUUGUGUUUCCUUCCCUGAUGUCCCAGGGAUGGGGCAGAGGGAUGGGGCUGGAGCCUGGCUGCUCUUGCAGAGCUUCCUCUUGCUGCCUCUUACUCACAGCCCAGCACCAACAAAAAAAGCAACCAAAACUGGCCAGGGGGAAUUCCUCCAUUUUCACUUCUGUAAGAAACAGCCCCUGAAUUUGUUGGAUUUCAACUGAAAUGGCAAGGGUGCAGUUUCUGUUGCUAAAAAAGCUUCACAGAAUCACAGAAUUGUUGGGGUUGGAAGGGGCCUCUGGACACCAUCUGGUCCAACCCCCCUUGCCCAAGGUCACCUGGAGCAGGUGACACAGGAACUCACCCAGGUGGCUUUGGAAUGUCUCCAGAGAGGGAAACUCCAGGAAUUCCCUGGGCAUCUCCUCCAGCUGCAGUUCUCUCCCAGCAGCCAGGGGUGCACAGGAGGUGCCUGGGCCAGCACUGGUGCAGCCCCCCCUUGCUUGGGAUGGAGGGAGAUGAUGGAGCCUUAUCCCAGGAUUCCUCAGUACUGCUCCUGGAGAAAACAGCCACGUUCCCCAGGGCUCAGAGAGCUCCCAGCCUCCUGCACAGCAGAGACCUGGCACCAGACAGGGAGCCAGCUGAGGAGGAGGCCCAGGAGCCCCAGAACUGGGUGACUGGAUUUGUGCAACUGUGGAAAACGCUGUGAGAAAUGGGAAAUCUUUCUCAGACCUCCUCCUCCAUUCAAUAUCUGCACCCACAAGGAGGUUGGUUCUCCACACUGCCAGCAAGGAAACUCCUCAGAAAGCCCCUGUGGAGAUCCUCUUGGUAUCUCUGUGCCAAUUGCCUUUGGUCUCAGCAGAACAAGUGGCUGUGGAAGUGCCUGGGGCACAGGAGCAGCCAUGGGGAGAUUCUGUGGCCACAGAGAGGGGCCCUGCUUGGCCAGCAGGGGCUGGUGAGGCACGAGGGGCCUUGGGACAGUUUCUUUGAGAGUUUGUCUCAGAAAAAAACCAAAUUAAAACUCAUGAGAGCCACGUGCUUGUGUGUAGGGAAAGCAGUGAGGACAGAGUGGGAUUUCCAGAGAGUCACAGGGACCAUCUGUGCUCUCGGCUGUCAAAGCUGAACCCUGUGGUCUGUGGCUUUCUCCUGGCUGAAAGGAGAUCUCUGCCUGCUCAUGGAGAGGGGGAAGUGCCACCUCCUGGGGCCUGGGAGCCCUCCAUGGUGAGCAGGACCCGGCAGAGCCCUGCGUGACGCAGGAUCCGGCCGUGGGGCCUGACGUCAGCAGCACUUAAAAGAAAAACAAGAAAAAGAAAAAAAAGCCGUGCUUUUGAUGACUCCAUUUUCCAGAGGAAGUUGAACAAAAAAAUCAAAAAGCAAGCAAAAAGCUCAAACCCCCGAAAUACACAGAGGCAGAAGAGCAGGAAGAAGAGCAGAAGGGCUGGAGGAGGCUCCCAGUGCCCUCCACAUCCCUGUGGGAUGCAGGGAUGGAUCUCGCGUGUGAGCAGUGCCGUGUGAGAUGUGAGAGAAGGAAACACAGCAAGGAUCAGCCCCCUCCUCCUGCCUGCACUGGAGAAGCUGAAAAUAAACCCAAAAACCCUUCACCUGAAAACCACAUUCCCCCAGGAGGGUUUCUGCCAGCAGUUUGACUUCCCACCAUGAAGGUUCCUGGAAAAGGAGUGACUUUUGGGAAAGCUUCCCUGGGGCCUGGAAGGUGACCCAGGGUGAGCUGUUGGGUCUCAUCCUGUUUCCAUUCUGAUGACAACUGUUCACAGCAUCACAGAAUCAAUUAGUUUGGAAAAGAUCUCUGAGAUCAUCGAGCCCAGCCUAUGACUGAACACCACGCUGCUGAGCAGAGCCCUGAUUGUUGUGUUUCCUCCACCCCCGGGUCUGACCUGUCCUGCUCCUGUUGAUGUCCCUGGGAUGAGAAUCCCUGUGCAGUCACUGUGAGCAGCCCAGCUCCUUUUCCCUGCUGCUCUGGGGAUUGCUCCCAAAACUUCCCCAGGGAGAAGCACCCAGGAACUCAGGUGUGUGAGGAGCUCUUGGAGAGAUCACUUGGUUCUCCUUUUUCCCACCUGUGAUGUAGAAACACUCUUCCCCAUGUGAGGCAAAGGCACAUUGCCUCUUGCUGAUGGGGAAUGUCCAAAUCUGGAAACAGAAAGCUCAGCUUGUCCUUAGGAGAGGAUGAACAGACAAAUGGACCAAACAAAUAACACCACAUCCUUUCUGUAUUUACAAAUGAAAUGCAAUAAAUAAUGUCUGUGUCCAACAGUGGCAGAACACAGACCAUAGUGUGGGUCGGACUGCCCCAGCUCAUGCUGGGCUCCCAGGUGCAUCCCAUAUCCUGCCCUGGGGCUCUCCCAGAGGGGCCGGAUGCUGAAGGGUCACUGCAGGGUCAGGAAAGUCUCUGUGCCCGUCCCUGCGGGGUCAGGCAGGGCAGGAGCCCCGUGCUGCCAGCAGCAGGGUGCUGAUGUCAGGCUGACGUCUGCUGUCCGUGUCUGUGUUGCGAAAGGUUGGGAUGGCAUCAGAGUGAGGACAUCAGCAGGAGGAGCCCAGCUGGCCCAGGAGAGGGGGAAGUGGAAGCACAGGAGUACCCCAGGCCACGAGGGUGGCCCUGCACCCCGUGCUGGGCUGCUGAGGAGGGCAGACAAGGCAGGGCCGCCCUGUGUGUAUCCUUGGUGGCCGAGGGGGUCGGGAUGAGCCCCUCCAGCAAAGCACAUCCCUGCCUCCCAAUAAAGGGGGCUGCCCACAGCAGGAGUGGGGCCAAAGCAGCCCCAGCAGUGGCUGGGCUGGCGCUCCUGGCACCAGGAACACUCAGGGGUAGCUUAUCCAGUGGCAGACGAGGUAGUUGGGUCAGAGCACAGGGCU
RNAcentral lists this long non-coding RNA (4394 nucleotides) under Ficedula albicollis (Collared flycatcher). RNAcentral describes it as "lncRNA (ENSFALG00000025479.1)". Lineage: Eukaryota; Metazoa; Chordata; Aves; Passeriformes; Muscicapidae. The record is from RNAcentral.